This 1103-nucleotide ribosomal RNA is filed under the name uncultured bacterium. Its description in RNAcentral is "bacterial SSU rRNA". It matches the Rfam family "Bacterial small subunit ribosomal RNA", at positions 1 to 1108 of the family's 1533-position model. The record is from RNAcentral.
UAGAGUUUGAUCCUGGCUCAGAUUGAACGCUGGCGGCAGGCCUAACACAUGCAAGUCGAGCGGUAACAGGAGUGCUUGCACUCUGCUGACGAGCGGCGGACGGGUGAGCAAUACUUGGGUAUCUGCCCAAUAGUGGGGGACAACACGGGGAAACUCGUGCUAAUACCGCAUACGCCCUACGGGGGAAAGCAGGCUUCGGCUUGCGCUAUCGGAUGAGCCCAAGUCGGAUUAGCUAGUUGGUGAGAUAAAAGCUCACCAAGGCGACGAUCCGUAACUGGUCUGAGAGGAUGAUCAGUCACACCGGAACUGAGACACGGUCCGGACUCCUACGGGAGGCAGCAGUGGGGAAUAUUGGACAAUGGGGGCAACCCUGAUCCAGCCAUGCCGCGUGUGUGAAGAAGGCCUUAGGGUUGUAAAGCACUUUCAGUGAGGAGGAAAAGUUAAUGGUUAAUACCCAUUAGCCGUGACGUUACUCACGGAAGAAGCACCGGCAAACUCCGUGCCAGCAGCCGCGGUAAUACGGAGGGUGCGAGCGUUAAUCGGAAUUACUGGGCGUAAAGCGCGCGUAGGCGGUUUGUUAAGCCGGUUGUGAAAGCCCUAGGCUCAACCUAGGAACUGCACCCGGAACUGGCAAGCUAGAGUACAGUAGAGGAAGGUGGAAUUCCAAGUGUAGCGGUGAAAUGCGUAGAUAUUUGGAGGAACAUCAGUGGCGAAGGCGGCCUUCUGGACUGAUACUGACGCUGAGGUGCGAAAGCGUGGGGAGCAAACAGGAUUAGAUACCCUGGUAGUCCACGCCGUAAACGAUGUCAACUAGUUGUUGGGUUCCUUGUGGACUUAGUAACGCAGCUAACGCAUUAAGUUGACCGCCUGGGGAGUACGGCCGCAAGGUUAAAACUCAAAUGAAUUGACGGGGGCCCGCACAAGCGGUGGAGCAUGUGGUUUAAUUCGAUGCAACGCGAAGAACCUUACCUACUCUUGACAUCCAGAGAAUUCGCUAGAGAUAGCUUAGUGCCUUCGGGAACUCUGAGACAGGUGCUGCAUGGCUGUCGUCAGCUCGUGUUGUGAAAUGUUGGGUUAAGUCCCGUAACGAGCGCAACCCCUAU